Molecule: ribosomal RNA, 253 nt
Filed under: uncultured bacterium
Lineage: Bacteria
Description: partial 16S ribosomal RNA
Rfam family: Bacterial small subunit ribosomal RNA
Source: RNAcentral
UACGGAGGAGGCAAGCGUUAUCCGGAAUUAUUGGGCGUAAAGCGUCCGUAGGUGGCACUUCAAGUCUGCGGUCAAAGCCCGGGGCUUAACCCUGGAAAGGCCGUGGAAACUGAAGUGCUAGAGUGCAGUAGGGGUAGAGGGAAUUCCCGGUGUAGCGGUGAAAUGCGUAGAGCUCGGGAAGAACAUCGGUGGCGAAAGCGCUCUACUGGACUGCAACUGACACUGAGGGACGAAAGCUAGGGGAGCGAAUGGG